Molecule: ribosomal RNA, 815 nt
Filed under: uncultured bacterium
Lineage: Bacteria
Description: bacterial SSU rRNA
Rfam family: Bacterial small subunit ribosomal RNA
Source: RNAcentral
AGAGUUUGAUCCUGGCUCAGAACGAACGCUGGCGGCGUGGAUAAGACAUGCAAGUCGAACGCUGACAUUCAGGUAGCAAUAUUUGGAUGUCGGAGUGGCGCAAGGGUGCGUAACACGUGGGUAAUCUGCCGUGAAGUUGGGGAUAACUUGCUGAAAGGCGAGCUAAUACCGAAUGCGGAAAUUGGGGGGCAUCUUCUGAUUUUCAAAGUUGGGGACCGCAAGGCCUGACGCUUCACGAUGAGCCCGCGGCCUAUCAGCUAGUUGGUAAGGUAACGGCUUACCAAGGCUAAGACGGGUAGCUGGUCUGAGAGGACGACCAGUCACACUGGAACUGAGACACGGUCCAGACACCUACGGGUGGCAGCAGUCGAGAAUUUUUCUCAAUGGGCGAAAGCCUGAAGGAGCGACGCCGCGUGGGGGAUGAAGGGCUUCGGCUCGUAAACCCCUGUCAUUUGCGAACAAACCUUUUCACUUAACACGUGAAAAGCUGAUUGUAGCGAAAGAGGAAGGGACGGCUAACUCUGUGCCAGCAGCCGCGGUAAUACAGAGGUCCCAAGCGUUGUUCGGAUUCACUGGGCGUAAAGGGUGCGUAGGUGGCGGGGUCAGUCUGACGUGAAAUCUCCGGGCUUAACCCGGAAAUGGCGUUGGAAACUACCUUGCUUGAGGGUUGGAGGGGGGACUGGAAUACUUGGUGUAGCAGUGAAAUGCGUAGAUAUCAAGUGGAACACCAGUGGCGAAGGCGAGUCCCUGGACAACUCCUGACACUGAGGCACGAAAGCUAGGGGAGCAAACGGGAUUAGAUACCCCAGUAGUCC